Molecule: non-coding RNA, 200 nt
Organism: Arachis ipaensis
Lineage: Eukaryota; Viridiplantae; Streptophyta; Magnoliopsida; Fabales; Fabaceae
Source: RefSeq, a predicted model, not a curated record
GGAGGAUGUUGAUAAUAACAAAAAUGAAGACAUAACUGGAGAGCCUCUUGAGAUCGAUGACAAGGAAGAUGAACAACCGAUGGAGCGGCCUCGAAAAACUUCGAAGUACAUGACCAAGUACGAGCGUGCCCGGAUUCUGGGUACCCGUGCUCUCCAAAUCAGUAUGAAUGCUCCUGUUAUGGUGGAACUGGAGGGGGAAA